GAUGAACGCUGGCGGCGUGCUUAACACAUGCAAGUCGAACGGAAAGGCCCAGGCUUGCUUGGGUGCUCGAGUGGCGAACGGGUGAGUAACACGUGGGUAAUCUGCCCUUCACUUCGGGAUAACUCCGGGAAACUGGGGCUAAUACCGGAUAGGACCACCUUCUGGAUGGUGGGGGGGGGAGAGUUUCGGUGGGGGAUGAGCUCGCGGCCUAUCAGCUUGUUGGUGGGGUAGUGGCGUACCAAGGCGUCGACGGGUAGCCGGCCUGAGAGGGUGACCGGCCACAUUGGGACUGAGAUACGGCCCAGACUCCUACGGGAGGCAGCAGUGGGGAAUAUUGCACAAUGGGCGGAAGCCUGAUGCAGCGACGCCGCGUGGGGGAUGACGGCCUUCGGGUUGUAAACUCCUUUCGCUAGGGACGAAGCGUGAGUGACGGUACUUGGUGAAGAAGCACCGGCUAACUACGUG
Molecule: ribosomal RNA, 465 nt
Filed under: uncultured bacterium
Lineage: Bacteria
Description: partial 16S ribosomal RNA
Rfam family: Bacterial small subunit ribosomal RNA
Source: RNAcentral